CGGGAGCUUGCACAGGUGCUGCAUGGCUGUCGUCAGCUCGUGUCGUGAGAUGUUCGGUUAAGUCCGCUAACGAGCGCAACCCUCGCUGUGUGUUAUAUGUGUCACACGGGACUGCCGGUCUUAAGCCGGAGGAAGGUGGGGGAAUGAUGGUCAAGUCAGCAUGGCCUUUAUAUCCUGGGCUACACACACGCUACAAUGGCCAACACAAUAGGUUGCUAAGCCGCGAGGUGGCGCCAAUCCAUAAAGUUGGUCUCAGUUCAGAUUGUAGGCUGCAACCCGCCUGCAUGAAGAUGGAGUUGCUAGUAACCGCAGGUCAGCUAUACUGCGGUGAAUACGUUCCCGGGCCUU
Molecule: ribosomal RNA, 348 nt
Filed under: uncultured Leptolinea sp.
Lineage: Bacteria; Bacillati; Chloroflexota; Anaerolineae; Anaerolineales; Anaerolineaceae
Description: bacterial SSU rRNA
Rfam family: Bacterial small subunit ribosomal RNA
Source: RNAcentral